Molecule: non-coding RNA, 100 nt
Filed under: Acidipropionibacterium acidipropionici
Lineage: Bacteria; Bacillati; Actinomycetota; Actinomycetes; Propionibacteriales; Propionibacteriaceae
Description: TPP sequence
Rfam family: TPP riboswitch aptamer (THI element)
About the family: Vitamin B(1) in its active form thiamin pyrophosphate (TPP) is an essential coenzyme that is synthesised by coupling of pyrimidine and thiazole moieties in bacteria. The previously detected thiamin-regulatory element, thi box was extended, resulting in a new, highly conserved RNA secondary structure, the THI element, which is widely distributed in eubacteria and also occurs in some archaea. Analysis of operon structures identified a large number of new candidate thiamin-regulated genes, mostly transporters, in various prokaryotic organisms.
Source: RNAcentral
UUCGAGACCUACGGGAGCCCCACCGGGGCUGAGAGGGCGACAGCCGACCGUCACACCUGAUGCGGGUAAUGCCGCCGGAGGAAAGGAGCGAUGACGCGAU